RNAcentral lists this microRNA precursor (85 nucleotides) under Astyanax mexicanus (Mexican tetra). RNAcentral describes it as "mir-301 microRNA precursor family". It matches the Rfam family "mir-301 microRNA precursor family". The record is from Rfam by way of RNAcentral. Lineage: Eukaryota; Metazoa; Chordata; Actinopteri; Characiformes; Acestrorhamphidae.
UGAGGUCAGCUGCUCUGACGAUGUUGCACUACUGUAACAUCCAUUCUAGCAGUGCAAUAGUAUUGUCAUAGCAUCCCGCCUCCGC